Megalobrama amblycephala (Wuchang bream) is the source of this 4036-nucleotide long non-coding RNA. RefSeq lists it as uncharacterized. NCBI's taxonomy places the organism in Eukaryota, Metazoa, Chordata, Actinopteri, Cypriniformes, Xenocyprididae. The transcript has 7 exons. The record is from RefSeq and is a predicted model, not a curated record.
UACAAUAGUCCAUUUACAGUUACUAUCAUAAAAAUACACUUACUUGUAGGUUUGAAAGUGUACAUAAGGCACAUUUAAUGUCCAACAUCAAAUAUUUUAGCGAAAUGUAUAUUUUAGAAUUAUUGCGCUUCUAUUGCGUCCCGUCUGUUUAGCGCGCAUGCGCGCAGCAGCGCUCGUUCAAUGUGAAGUUUAGCCUCAAAAUGGAAAUAUUUGUAAUAUUUUCUAACAUUUACAGAUGGAGAAUAAACUUGUGAAAAGUAAGUUAUGCACUAAGGAAAACACCAUGUCUCAAACGCAUAAAAUAGAACAAAAUGUAUGCCCUUUCCUAUCGAUUUGAUCCAUGAUCGACCUCUAGGGCUGCUUAAAAAAGUGUGCACGCGAAAUUAUCUUGACUAGGUGAACCUGGAUCGAAUUAGCGGGACUGCGUGAACUUCAAUUACCUUUUAUGAAACCGUUUUAGCCCAAACUCAUUUGUUAGGUUAAUUCAAGUCAGGUUUUGGAGUUUAAUCCUCGCUUUUCUUAGCAUCUUUUAUGAAACAGCCCUCUGGAGUAUAAUACAAGUUUGUUGGUGGAUCAGGAGAAGGUAAUUGUCACAGACACAUCAGGCUCUACCAUGCACCAAUCACAAUGCUCCCAAUCACCGGAAUACUAAUCACUGUCACCUGCACAUCAUUAUCCCCUUCAUCAUCACCAGUAUAUAGAGCACUCACACCCUGCACUCACUGUCCGGUCUCGUUGAGCUAUACUUUCCUGUAUGCUUACCUCAAGGACUCCCUCGCUCGCUACUUACCUGUCUCCUGUGCACCCGAUCUCCCAGUGUGUUCCUCGUCUGUGUGUGAGUGCUUCUACGUCUCCUACGUUCUCCAGCUCCAUCCAGUUCCAAGUCUCCACCAUCUGCAAUCACAAAAGGACCGUAAAUAUCACCAGACAUUACCAUUGUUCAUCUGCUCUACUCUGCUUACCAUAUCUGCUCACUGGUUUCUCCAUAAAGAGAACAGAUGUACCGUUUGUACAUCUGUGUCCGACCCCUCUGUGUCAUAACAGUAAUACUUCCAAGUUCUAUUUAUGUAUGAUUUACAUUCUCUUUCAGAAUGUAUACGUACUUUUAAUGUGGUCUUUUAAUAGGAGAGGAAGAAACUAAUCUAUCAGGCUUGUGAGGAAAGACGUCAAAAGAUCUUGUUUGACUUUGUGGGACAAGAUGAUAUUGCCAGUGAAAUCUUUGUGGUGCAAGAAGCCGCAUCAUCAAGAUCAGUUGAGAGCAGUUCCUCCGGGUCAAUAAUGGAUCAUGGCAUAAAAGCAUCCUCAACUCUAUAUGUGCUUUGGUUUUCAAAUAAGGAUGUACAGGAAAUUCUCUCAGAUCAACAAAAUGAUGGAGCUUAUAACCUACACCAUACAUCACAUGGUCAGUCAUCACUGUCUGAGACAUCCACCCAGCCAAGUCUCUCUGUGCCCUCUUUCCAGCCACCACUGUCUGAGCCCUCCACCCGCUCACUGCUGUCUGAGCCCUCCACCCACUCACUGCUGUCUGAGCCCUCCACCCAGCCACUCCGCUCACUCUGUUCUCACAACCACAAGAAAUCCUGACUCUUCAUGAUGAACCAUCACUCUCUCCUUCAUCUGCCCAAGAACCAAUCAUUAUUCUUGAUGAACAAGAUGAGACGGUUUCACAAAAUCAGUCUCCUGUAUCAACACAUCACCUCGGAGGACCUGUGGAUGAGAUUGAUCUACAGACCAUAUUGAAAAAAUGGUCAGCAAAGUUGAUGGAAGCUUCUGUCCAACAAGCAACCAAAUAAAUGUGUGCAAGGAUAAUGUUUUACUGUGUAGCCUGCGGGCAUUCAAGCGUAGGUUCUUCAACCCUGAAGCAAAAUUGGAUGUUGUGUUUGUGGAUGAAGAUGACAAUGGUGAAGGGGCAGUUGACGAAGGCGGCCCAACAAGAGAGUACCUAAGGCUGUUGAUGAGGGCCGUCCACCAGUCAAAUAUCUUUGAGGGACAUGAGAAAGACCGGCAGUUGUCUCUUGAUACUCAAGCUUUGCAGACUAAACUUUACACGUGGGUGGCAAAAAUGAUUGCUGUGUGUGUGGUCCACGGAGGAGUCGGAGGAAACAUUUCUUUUCCGAAAGGCUUUUCCAUCAAAUCUGUGGGAUACCAACACACCCGGCCACGGUGGAUGAAGUUGGUGACCAUACUUUCAGGGAACAGUUAAUAAAAAUACAGGAAGCAACAACAGUCCGAGAGGUGAACGGUGCAAUUGCAGAGGCAGCAGAUAGUCUCAGCAUUAUAGGUGCCUUAAGACAUGUGUCCAGCCUGGAGGAGAAGGACUCCCUUGUCCAGUCAGCUGCAGACUUCUUUGUCAAUGGAAGACUGGCGACUACCCUGGACCAAAGGAGAAUGCAGUCCAGUCACCCUAAAGAAGGUAUUGGAGUUUACAUCUGGAGCUUCAACAGUGCCUCCACUGGGAUUUCCACACCGUCCACAAAUUCAGUUCCUUCAUGAGGGCAACAGAAUAUUCCCAGAAGCAAAUACUUGCUUUCUUGUACUCCACCUGCCGCUGCACUCUUCCUAUGAAGCCUUCAAACAAUACAUGAUGGAGGGAAUUUCGCAAGCUCCAACCUUUGGACUUGCAUGAUGUCACUAUGUGUGUAAAAAUUAUUAAUGGAAAUUCAGUUUUCACUUGAGCUAUAUUUGUGCUUAGAAAUUAUUGAAUAGAAUGCUGUUGAAGCAAGUCACUGGUUCAGAUGUUAAUUUUAGAAUCUCAUGCACUUUUAAAAAAAAAAAAUUUGAUGCAGUAAUCCUGUUCAUUUUGCAUGAGUAACAGUUCACUUCAGUUGAUUGGUGGUUAUUCAAUAUUGAGUUUUUCAGCUAACUCAAACUUGUGUAGUUUUUUUGAAGGUGUAUAUUUUCUUUUGGUUUUACGAGACAUAUAUUGGGCUUAUAGUUCAUGGUUACUCUGAUGACACUGAGGUUGAUCUAAUGAAUUAGAUAUCCUUUAUAAACAAACUGUAAGGAAUUAUUGGGCUUAUAAUUCAAUGAGUUUGAUGAAAUCACACAUAACAGCCAAUAUGUUUGGUUUAUGUACAUGUUGAUGAAUACACAGUGAAUACAGAGAAGGCAAACAAAAAGUCUGGCUGGUUUGCUGGAUGUCAACCUCAACAGCUUAUCAUAGUAACCUGUCCCCAUCACGACUCAGUCUCUGUUCCAAUUAGUGGAUUGAUGUUAAGGUAUUUUUGGCAGUUAAACCUCUCUCAACUGUUCAUCUAAAAUUCUCAUUCAAGCCAUUAAACAUUCUAUGUUCAUAUUAAUUAGAUGCUUUUCCACUUUUUCUAUGAAUUAUAACACAAUGGGAGUAGAAAGGAACAAUACAAAUAUUGUCAGCCAACAGUACUACAAAAAAAAAAAAAUAAGACAAUAAAACAUAACAGCACCAACAGUGUUGUUAGCUACUGCCAAAUCUAGCACACCUGGCAUUAGCUCCAUCAGCUGCAGCUGCACUGCCCAUACCGCCUUAUUUUAACAGAAAAUGUAACUUAAAGCAGUUGAAACUAAAAAUGUCUUUCAGUUCUGGAUAAUAUUUGCAGCCAAUAAACCUUUGUCUCUGUAUUUUCUGUUCGCAACGGAUGGAGGUUCCAGGCCUGUCUAAACUGCUCCAGUCUUUUUUGAAUCUCAGGAAGAUAAACAAUAUGCAGUGAAAGUUUGUGGACAUUAUCAUCUGGGUUUAGAACCUCUGAAUCCUCUAAGGAGUAGAACAUAAGGUAAAAGUGCUGCAACACAUGCAAAAAUACAUCACGCCAAAUGCGUUCAAUUCUCUGAACUCAAUUGUUCAAUUGUGAACUGAUUGUCCGGUUAUGAAACUUCUGUGUUCAAGUCCUUGAACUAGAUGCAUGAAUAAAGCCACAAGGAUGUUUUCACCACCAUGGUCAGACUGACUCUUGAUGGUAGGGCAUAGAGGCAUGUUGCUUUCAAAAACUGAGAAAGCACUGUUGUGGCACGAUUGUCUGUGCUGCAGUUGAGGUAAGUAAUCAGACGGGAGUAUCCAUCA